RNAcentral lists this ribosomal RNA (270 nucleotides) under uncultured bacterium. Its description in RNAcentral is "partial 16S ribosomal RNA". It matches the Rfam family "Bacterial small subunit ribosomal RNA", at positions 501 to 770 of the family's 1533-position model. The record is from RNAcentral.
CUACGUGCCAGCAGCCGCGGUAAUACGUAGGUGGCAAGCGUUGUCCGGAUUUAUUGGGCGUAAAGCGAGUGCAGGCGGUUCAAUAAGUCUGAUGUGAAAGCCUUCGGCUCAACCGGAGAAUUGCAUCAGAAACUGUUGAACUUGAGUGCAGAAGAGGAGAGUGGAACUCCAUGUGUAGCGGCGGAAUGCGUAGAUAUAUGGAAGAACACCAGUGGCGAAGGCGGCUCUCUGGUCUGCAACUGACGCUGAGGCUCGAAAGCAUGGGUAGCG